This 269-nucleotide long non-coding RNA is filed under the name Setaria viridis. RNAcentral describes it as "long non-coding RNA (SVIR_LNC007810)". The record is from RNAcentral. Lineage: Eukaryota; Viridiplantae; Streptophyta; Magnoliopsida; Poales; Poaceae.
UUAUCUGUAAGAUUUUCUUAGAGGGAGUUAGAGUGUGGUUCCGGUUCAGUGUUAUCAGUGAUAGCAUUCUGAUUCUUGGUCUGUAUCCAGAACAUUGUAAAAUUGGCAACCCCAGUUGAACCUUUUGCUUUCAAUCAAAGCAGGGCCAGCAAUGGUCUGUUAUCUAAAAAAAUCUCCCACAACGCGGAAAUGAAAGGAGAGGCUGACUGACCGGUGACUACGGUCAUGGAUCACGAUAUAGGCUCAUCCCGAUAAAUGUUACUACAUGU